UACGUAGGGGGCGAGCGUUGUCCGGAUUUAUUGGGCGUAAAGAGCUCGUAGGCGGCUUGGCAAGUCGGAUGUGAAAUCUCCCGGCUCAACUGGGAGGGGUCAUUCGAUACUGGCGGGCUCGAGGCCGGUAGGGGGAAGUGGAAUUCCCGGUGUAGUGGUGGAAUGCGUAGAUAUCGGGAGGAACACCAGUGGCGAAGGCGGCUUCCUGGACCGGUUCUGACACUGAGGAGCGAAAGCGUGGGGAGCGAUCCGG
Molecule: ribosomal RNA, 253 nt
Filed under: uncultured bacterium
Lineage: Bacteria
Description: partial 16S ribosomal RNA
Rfam family: Bacterial small subunit ribosomal RNA
Source: RNAcentral